Molecule: ribosomal RNA, 497 nt
Filed under: uncultured bacterium
Lineage: Bacteria
Description: partial 16S ribosomal RNA
Rfam family: Bacterial small subunit ribosomal RNA
Source: RNAcentral
GAUGAACGCUGGCGGCGUGCCUAAUACAUGCAAGUCGAGCGAACGGACGAGAAGCUUGCUUUUCUGAUGUUAGCGGCGGACGGGUGAGUAACACGUGGAUAACCUACCUAUAAGACUGGGAUAACUUCGGGAAACCGGAGCUAAUACCGGAUAAUAUUUUGAACCGCAUGGUUCAAAAGUGAAAGACGGUCUUGCUGUCACUUAUAGAUGGAUCCGCGCUGCAUUAGCUAGUUGGUAAGGUAACGGCUUACCAAGGCAACGAUGCAUAGCCGACCUGAGAGGGUGAUCGGCCACACUGGAACUGAGACACGGUCCAGACUCCUACGGGAGGCAGCAGUAGGGAAUCUUCCGCAAUGGGCGAAAGCCUGACGGAGCAACGCCGCGUGAGUGAUGAAGGUCUUCGGAUCGUAAAACUCUGUUAUUAGGGAAGAACAUAUGUGUAAGUAACUGUGCACAUCUUGACGGUACCUAAUCAGAGAGCCACGGCUAACUACGGG